RNAcentral lists this ribosomal RNA (199 nucleotides) under uncultured Pseudomonas sp. Its description in RNAcentral is "partial 16S ribosomal RNA". It matches the Rfam family "Bacterial small subunit ribosomal RNA", at positions 334 to 526 of the family's 1533-position model. Lineage: Bacteria; Pseudomonadati; Pseudomonadota; Gammaproteobacteria; Pseudomonadales; Pseudomonadaceae. The record is from RNAcentral.
UACUCCUACGGGAGGCAGCAGUGGGGAAUAUUGGACAAUGGGCGAAAGCCUGAUCCAGCCAUGCCGCGUGUGUGAAGAAGGUCUUCGGAUUGUAAAGCACUUUAAGUUGGGAGGAAGGGCAGUUACCUAAUACGUGAUUGUUUUGACGUUACCGACAGAUAAGCACCGGCUAACUCUGUGCCAGCAGCCGCGGUAAUAC